CACGUAGUUAGCCGGUCCUUAUUCACCACCUACCGUCAACCCCCGAGAAAACCAGGGGCCUUCGUGAGUGGUAAAAGAGGUUUACAACCCGAAGGCCUUCAUCCCCCACGCGGCGUCGCUGCGUCAGGCUUCCGCCCAUUGCGCAAUAUUCCCCACUGCUGCCUCCCGCAGGAGUCUGGGCCGUGUCUCAGUCCCAGUGUGGCCGGUCGCCCUCUCAGGCCGGCUACCCGUCAUCGCCUUGGUAGGCCAUUACCCCACCAACAAGCUGAUAGGCCGCGAGCCCAUCCCUGACCGGAAAAACCACCUUUCCGACCCCACACCAUGCAGCACGAGGUCAUAUCCGGUAUUAGACCCAGUUUCCCAGGCUUAUCCCAGAGUCAGGGGCAGGUUACUCACGUGUUACUCACCCGUUCGCCGCUCGUGUACCCCCGAAGGGGCCUUACCGCUCGACUUGCAUGUGUUAAGCACGCCGCCAGCGUGUCCUCGAGCCACGGAGUCAAACUAC
RNAcentral lists this ribosomal RNA (505 nucleotides) under uncultured Thermobifida sp. RNAcentral's name for it is "partial 16S ribosomal RNA". Lineage: Bacteria; Bacillati; Actinomycetota; Actinomycetes; Streptosporangiales; Nocardiopsidaceae. The record is from RNAcentral.